UCCGAGUUGACCCCGGCAGUCUCCCAUGAGUCCCCACCAUUACGUGCUGGCAACAUGGAACGAGGGUUGCGCUCGUUGCGGGACUUAACCCAACACCUCACGACACGAGCUGACGACAGCCAUGCAGCACCUGUCACCCGGUUCCCGAAGGCACCCUCGCAUCUCUGCAAGGUUCCGGGGAUGUCAAAAGCAGGUAAGGUUCUGCGCGUUGCUUCGAAUUAAACCACAUGCUCCACCGCUUGUGCAGGCCCCCGUCAAUUUCUUUGAGUUUUAACCUUGCGGCCGUACUCCCCAGGCGGUGGGCUUAACGCGUUCGCUGCGACACCGAGGGAUUCGACUCCCCCCACACCUAGUGUUCAUCGUUUACGGCUAGGACUAC
Molecule: unclassified non-coding RNA, 379 nt
Filed under: uncultured bacterium
Lineage: Bacteria
Description: contains 16S-23S intergenic spacer region
Source: RNAcentral